UCACGAAAAUGCCCGAAAAAGUA
Molecule: non-coding RNA, 23 nt
Filed under: Arabidopsis thaliana (thale cress)
Lineage: Eukaryota; Viridiplantae; Streptophyta; Magnoliopsida; Brassicales; Brassicaceae
Source: RNAcentral